GAUGAACGCUGGCGGCGUGCCUAAUACAUGCAAGUCGAGCGAACAGACGAGGAGCUUGCUCCUCUGACGUUAGCGGCGGACGGGUGAGUAACACGUGGAUAACCUACCUAUAAGACUGGGAUAACUUCGGGAAACCGGAGCUAAUACCGGAUAAUAUAUUGAACCGCAUGGUUCAAUAGUGAAAGACGGUUUUGCUGUAACUUAUAGACGGAUCCGCGCCGCAUUAGCUAGUUGGUAAGGUAACGGCUUACCAAGGCAACGAUGCGUAGCCGACCUGAGAGGGUGAUCGGCCACACUGGAACUGAGACACGGUCCAGACUCCUACGGGAGGCAGCAGUAGGGAAUCUUCCGCAAUGGGCGAAAGCCUGACGGAGCAACGCCGCGUGAGUGAUGAAGGUCUUCGGAUCGUAAAACUCUGUUAUUAGGGAAGAACAAAUGUGUAAGUAACUAUGCACGUCUUGACGGUACCUAAUCAGAAAGCCACGGCUAACUACGUG
This 497-nucleotide ribosomal RNA is filed under the name uncultured bacterium. Its description in RNAcentral is "partial 16S ribosomal RNA". It matches the Rfam family "Bacterial small subunit ribosomal RNA", at positions 28 to 507 of the family's 1533-position model. The record is from RNAcentral.